RNAcentral lists this long non-coding RNA (577 nucleotides) under Eutrema salsugineum. RNAcentral describes it as "long non-coding RNA (ESAL_LNC002224)". Lineage: Eukaryota; Viridiplantae; Streptophyta; Magnoliopsida; Brassicales; Brassicaceae. The record is from RNAcentral.
UGUUUUUAUCUUGCGGUUUCAGCUUACUCCAGAACAUGCUAAACUUCCAUCAACCUUGUCUGUAUUCAGCAACUUUUUGCUAGGGGAGAUAUUCUCUCAGGUUGGUUUCAUCAAAGUUGCUUCUUAUUGUUUUGCUCCUUGGAAUGUUCUGUAAAAUAAGUUCGUGAUUUAUAUCAACAAAUAGGAUCCUCUAAGAGCUAGUGACAAGCCUUUGACGAGCUGUGGUCCUUACAAAAUGAAAGAAGACGAUGCAAUGGUUUACCGAAGACCUUAUCUUACCUCAGGUUCUUCUGGUUUUGCCCUUAACGCCAUCAGCAGAGCCAUGAAGAAGGAGCUUAAGGUUCCUAGAGUGUCCUGUCAAGAUUAAGAAUAUUGAAGUUGAAAUCUAGAGAAAGAUUAGAAAUAUCUAAGAGUUUUAACUUACAGGGCUAUGCAGAAGAGAUGAGGACAUCACUGAUGGAUAAAAACUGGAAAAUCCCGACCACCGUGUGCUGGGGACAACGAGACAAGUGGCUAAGCUAUGAAGGAGUUGAAGACUUCUGCAAGUCUUCGGGACAUAAACUCAUCGAACUACCAA